ACGUAGGGUGCAAGCGUUGUCCGGAAUUAUUGGGCGUAAAGAGCUCGUAGGCGGUUUGUCGCGUCGAAUGUGAAAACCCGGGGCUCAACCCCGGGCCUGCAUUCGAUACGGGCAGACUAGAGUUCGGUAGGGGAGUCUGGAAUUCCUGGUGUAGCGGUGAAAUGCGCAGAUAUCGGAAGGAACAUCAGUGGCGAAAGCGGCUUCCUGGACCAGUACCGACGUUCAGGCACGAAAGCGUGGGGAGCAAACAGGA
Molecule: ribosomal RNA, 253 nt
Filed under: uncultured prokaryote
Description: partial 16S ribosomal RNA
Rfam family: Bacterial small subunit ribosomal RNA
Source: RNAcentral